UUAAAUCAUCGGUUCUCGUACGAUCACCGAAGUUAAGCAACGUCGAGCAUGGUCAGUACGUACAUGAAUGACUGCUUGGGAAUAUCAGGUGCUGUAAG
Non-coding RNA from Acanthosepion pharaonis, 98 nucleotides. Lineage: Eukaryota; Metazoa; Mollusca; Cephalopoda; Sepiida; Sepiidae. The record is from the annotation of a GenBank genome assembly.